UACGUAGGGGGCUAGCGUUGUCCGGAAUCAUUGGGCGUAAAGAGCGUGUAGGCGGUCCGGUAAGUCCGCUGUGAAAGUCGGGGGCUCAACCCUCGAAUGCCGGUGGAUACUGUCGGGCUAGAGUGCGGAAGAGGGAAGCGGAAUUUCCGGUGGUAGCGGUGAAAUGCGUAGAUAUCGGAAGGAACAUCAGUGGGCAGAAAAG
This 202-nucleotide ribosomal RNA is filed under the name uncultured bacterium. RNAcentral's name for it is "partial 16S ribosomal RNA". It matches the Rfam family "Bacterial small subunit ribosomal RNA", at positions 524 to 721 of the family's 1533-position model. The record is from RNAcentral.